GUUUUUGAUAUUAAAACUGUAAGGCUUGAUAGCGACUUGAGUUCUGGCUGGCCGUUUUCUCGUUUCUCUCCAUACGAUUCCCCAUUGGCUACUCUGCUUCUCAUCAAACCAGCCAUCUUAACACAGGUUACUUAAAUAUAUUCUCAUUUUUGCUAGAAGUUUACGAGUUCAAUUCUAAUGGAGUCAAAGCCUCCUCAAAAUCCCCCUAGGAAGCAUAAAUUUGUGCCUAAAGCACCCCCACGCCGGCCACCAAAGCCUGAAGUUAAAAGCGAGAAGGCUGAGGAUGUUGAUGCUGCUCAGGCAAUGAAUUUGAUGAAACAAUUCCAGGAAAGGUCCAUGAAGACAACGCCUAAAGUUGAAAAGAAAGUGCAUGCUUCUCAAAUUGCAUUUGGUUUUGGAGCUGCAUCUACUGGCUUGAAAUCAUGUGGUAUCCCCAAAAGGGGGACUGCAAGUAACCAAAAUCAGGGUUCAGCUUCCAAUGGUGAUGCUUAUUCUUCAGGACUUAGAGAUAAAGAAUAUGUGGAACCAUGGGAUUGUUACAGUUAUUAUCCUGUUACUCUUCCUUUGAGGAGGCCAUAUGCUGGAAAUCCAGCAAUUCUUGAUGCGGAGGAAUUUGGGGAGGCUUCCGAAACUGUAACUUAUGAUGAAAGUUCUAUAAAUCCGGCAGCUGAUCUUGGUUUAAUGGAGGAAAAAAUGGGGGCAAGUAUGUUCUUUCUUCAGUUACCACCGACCGUACCCAUGAUAAAGAGAUCAGCUACAGCAGAUGGCCUUGAUGUCAAGGAAAGCUCAAGGUCUUCAGUAGAGAAGACCUGUAAAGUAGAAGAUUUACCAGCUGGCCAAAUGGGUAAAAUGCUAGUAUACAGGAGUGGCGCAGUUAAGCUCAAGCUUGGUGAAACCCUUUAUGAUGUCUCCCCAGGUGUGGAUUGCGUAUUUGCCCAGGAUGUUGUAGCAAUUAAUACAGCAGAGAAGCAUUGCUGUGUUGUUGCAGAGAUCAACAAGCAUGCUAUAAUAACCCCUGAUGUGGAUUCCAUCAUCAAUAGUGUGGCUCAUUGUGACAGUAAUAUUGGUUCCUAUAUAUAGAUGAAACUGGUAAAUCUAUAAUUUUGUUCCCAGAAAGAAAGGUAUAAGAGUUUUGUAUUCAUUUAUUUUAACAUUCCUUCAUGAAAAACAAAUAAAGUGAGGGGAAUAAAAAGGAUGAAGGAUUGCGGUUUGGAGCUGGACUCUUUGAAUGAAAAAUGAAGGAAAUGUGAAUUUGUAUUCUUUUUCAUCUCUGUUGUGCUUAGCAUGUUUUUCUUCUAGUGAUAACUCCAAUUCAAUGGUCAUAUUCAAUUAAACUUAUUGCAACCAUCAUAGUAUGUAACUGAGAAUCAUAAUGUGAUUUGAUGAUCCAGAUUCUAG
Molecule: unclassified non-coding RNA, 1398 nt
Filed under: Hevea brasiliensis (rubber tree)
Lineage: Eukaryota; Viridiplantae; Streptophyta; Magnoliopsida; Malpighiales; Euphorbiaceae
Source: RNAcentral